CCUACGGGUGGCAGCAGUGGGGGAUAUUGGACAAUGGGGGGAACCCUGAUCCAGCGACGCCGCGUGAGUGAAGAAGUAUCUCGGUAUGGAAAGCUCUAUCAGCAGGGAAGAAGCAAUGACGGUACCUGAGUAAGAAGCUCCGGCUAACUACGUGCCAGCAGCCGCGGUAAUACGUAGGGGGCAAGCGUUAUCCGGAAUUACUGGGUGUAAAGGGAGCGUAGACGGUGAUGUAAGUCUGGAGGGAAAGGCGGGGGCCCAACCCCCGGACUGCUCUGGAAACUAUGUGACUGGAGUGAAGGUGAGGUGGGCAGAAUGCGUAGUGUAGCGGUGAAAUGCGUAGAUAUUAGGAGGAACCCCAGUGGCGAAGGCGGCUCACUGGACUGUAACUGACGUUGAGGCUCGAAAGCGUGGGGAGCAAACAGGAUUAGAUACCCGGGUAGUC
This 442-nucleotide ribosomal RNA is filed under the name uncultured bacterium. RNAcentral's name for it is "partial 16S ribosomal RNA". It matches the Rfam family "Bacterial small subunit ribosomal RNA", at positions 338 to 795 of the family's 1533-position model. The record is from RNAcentral.